UACGUAGGGUGCGAGCGUUGUCCGGAAUUAUUGGGCGUAAAGAGCUUGUAGGCGGUUUGUCGCGUCUGCUGUGAAAAUCCGGGGCUCAACCCCGGACUUGCAGUGGGUACGGGCAGACUAGAGUGUGGUAGGGGAGACUGGAAUUCCUGGUGUAGCGGUGAAAUGCGCAGAUAUCAGGAGGAACACCGAUGGCGAAGGCGCCGCUCUGGGCCGUGACUGACGCUGAGGAACGAAAGCGUGGGUAGCAAACAGG
RNAcentral lists this ribosomal RNA (253 nucleotides) under uncultured bacterium. RNAcentral describes it as "partial 16S ribosomal RNA". It matches the Rfam family "Bacterial small subunit ribosomal RNA", at positions 524 to 776 of the family's 1533-position model. The record is from RNAcentral.